This 300-nucleotide ribosomal RNA is filed under the name uncultured Natrialba sp. Its description in RNAcentral is "bacterial SSU rRNA". The stretch from base 52 to 300 matches the Rfam family "Bacterial small subunit ribosomal RNA", at positions 547 to 795 of the family's 1533-position model. The record is from RNAcentral. Lineage: Archaea; Methanobacteriati; Methanobacteriota; Halobacteria; Halobacteriales; Natrialbaceae.
AGUGAGGCGGUGCGAGCGGAGGGUGAAAGAAGAAGGGGGGGAGCGUUGGUGGGAAUGGCUGGGCAUGAAGGGCCGGCAGGAAGCAGGCGAAGGCUGGGGUGAAAGACUGUGGCUCAACAGCGUGAGGGCCCUCGGUGCGGGGAGGCGAGAGACCGGAAGAGGUUGGUGGAAUUGCGAGUGUAGCGGUGAAAUGCGUAGAUAUUCGAAAGAACACCGGUGGCGAAGGCGGCCAAAGGGUCCGGAUCUGACGCUGAGGCGCGAAAGCGUGGGGAGCAAACAGGAGUAGAUACCCGAGUAGUC